This is an RNA transcript of Pyrus x bretschneideri (Chinese white pear), 3557 nucleotides long. RefSeq lists it as uncharacterized. The transcript has 5 exons. The record is from RefSeq and is a predicted model, not a curated record. Lineage: Eukaryota; Viridiplantae; Streptophyta; Magnoliopsida; Rosales; Rosaceae.
AUAUUUGGACCUUUUAAAUACCCACAAAAAUAUUAAAAAAAAUGAAUCACAUAAAAAAACAAUAAAACUAACACAAAAACACAAGAACAACAACAAGAAUCACAGAGUUCAAACUUUUUCUGAUUACCAAAAUUUUCUCUCUGAAUUGGAAAGAAGGUUUAUAAUUGGGAAUUUGCAUCUAGCAUCAUGAAAUUCAAACGAGGGAGCAAUGUCGAAGUAUUGAGCAAAAAGGAGAUGCCUUCAGGCUGCUGGUGCUGUGCUAAGAUAAUCUGCGGUAAUGGCCACAACUACACAGUCAGAUAUGAUGCAUAUGAGGGUAAUGCUGAUAACGCCGUUGUGGAGAGGGUAUCCAGAGAUGCCAUCAGGCCAUGCCCACCUCCACUGGAAGUUUCAGAGAAUUUAAUUCCUGGUGAUGUCAUUGAGGUUUUUGACAAACUUUCUUGGAAAAUGGCAACAAUUACAAAGGUUUUGGGAAGGGAGUGCUUUUUAAUCAGGCCAGUCGGAUCCUCCCGGCAGUACAAGGUCAGAAAUUUUGAAAUCCGAGUCAGACAGUUUUGGCAAGAUGACAAAUGGGUUGUGAUUGGAAAGGGUUUGAACCAUUAUGAGAAUCGACAACGUGGUGAACUUUUAACUCUAAAGUUCAACCAAAAUUCAUACCUUAAAGCUCAGAAGAAUGUAACAAAGACUGCCUCCUCUCAUCUGAAGAGAAGAUCACCCUACUUUUGUUCUCAAGAUGAAGCAUAUGAUGGAUCUGCUGAGAAGUUUAGAGCUGGUGAUAAAGAGGGCAGGUGUCUCCGAGUAAUUUCUGCGAAUUUAUCUACAUUUUCUGAACAGUUAGAUGUUGAUUUACCAAGACGUAUGCAGGGUGGAAAAGAUUUACGUGCUUCUCUUUACAACAGAAAAACUGUAUUGCCUGAUGUGGAUGUGGAAAGGAGGAAACCAAAUGGUGAUGUUGGGCGUGCGUUUGCUGUGAACCUUAAAUCGAAUGAUGCUGAUAGUAUUACGUGCUCUGUUGGUAGUUGUAGUAUCUAUACGAAUGAUUCCAAUAAGUUACCUCCUCCUGUUUCAGCUAGUUCUACUGAAGAUUUUGAUGAUCAGUUUUCUGAUGCUGAAUCUAUUUGUCAAUUGGGAUAUAAGGGAGGAAUCUCUCUCCUUCCUGCUAAAGAAGAAUUGGCAGCAGAGAUCCAUAGGUUAGAGUUGCAUGCUUACCGUUGCACGAUAGGGGCAUUACAUGCAUCAGGACCUUUAAGUUGGGAACAAGAAGAAUUGGUGACAAAUCUUCGUCUUUCACUCCAUAUAUCAAAUGAUGAACAUUUAAUGGAGCUUAGAAACCUAAUUUCUGGAGAUACCAGCAUUCAUAUCAGAUGACAGGAAAUCUGGAACUGCGUCUUCUGAUUCAUAUUUUUCUUGUAGCUGUAGAAUCUCGAUGAGCAUUUUCAUUAAUGACCUCGCUCCACUGGCCAAAGUAGGAGGCUUGUCGCCUUGCUUUCAAGUCUCCAAAGAUGAGCUUGGGGCAUGCCAGCUUUCUCUCGGCCUAGACUCGAGGGCAAUUUAAGACAGCUUCUGAUGCUGCUGUUCUCAUUAACAUAUCCGGUCUCUUCAUUCGUCCAUGUCACUAUGUCAGGCCACCUGUGAGCCUUAGCUAUGUGUUUUGCUGAGGAUGUAAGACAAUCUUGUUGCUAACACAGGAUGACAUGUGAUUUGGAUGCUCGAAAGGUUUUAAUUCAAACAUUUUCUUCAGCGCGUCCACCUACAAAUUACUUAGUGAUAUCUUUUUUAUUCUCCAUCUGCUACAAGAUUAUCAUGUGAUCGCAGAUCUUUUUUCACAAUAUUCUUCGUUUCUGUGUGUUUUUUUCCUUUCUAUUUUCUGAUCAAGGGUAUUUUUGAAUGUAAAGUUCAGGAUAUUGAAAUUGUCCAUAAGCAUGGGAAGUAUAUUUUGAAGCUUAAAGUUCAAUGAAAAAGGUAAGCAUUGUUAUUGAACCAAUAUAACAACAAAUUUGGCUGGAGAGUAAACGGCUUGUGUUGAUUAUGCAGAAGCCAAAUGCAUUUUAAAUAACUGAUGAAUUCUAGGUUUUCUUUUUCCAGUUUUUGGAAAGUUCUUCAAAACAAACCAAGAUACUAAAAGUCAGCUUUGUUUCUUAUUGUUUCUACUUCUAAGGUGCAUCUGAAAGUUGUAGCUUGACAAAUUUUACAUUGUAAAUUUUCCAAAAGAUGUGAUUAAUAUGUACCUUAGCUGCAUAUUUUUCUCUAUUGAAGUGUUUGAAUACGCCAUUCACUGAGUUAUGGUGGUCCUCUUGCUGGAAUAAAGGUUGGUAUCUUAUGUUGAUCAGCAUGAAGUAUGCAAGUUUUUUCUUGAUAUUAUUCAGAAGCUAUAUCUUAAGUUGAUCAGCAGGACGUAUGCAAUUUUUUUCUUGAUAUUAUUCCUCAGCUUCUGAUUCGGAGUGUUUCAAACUUGCAAGUUUCAACCUCUAUUCUUCGGUCAACAAAUCAGUAACCAAUUUGCCAAAUCUUCAGGUGUAAACAGCAAGUAGAUGUCAAUGUAUAAGCUACUCGACUACCCUACAGAUCUUCAAUUCUUUGUGAUUAUUGUAGUUUUUAUAUGUAAUAGAUCUGACUGGUUCUCUAGCUUAGACUCAUUGCUUUAGCUUUGGCAACUGGAUCAUUUUUCCAUUUUGACCAGAGAGCAGAGUGAUGAACAAUAUGUUCCAAGAAAAGGCGAAUGGAGAACUGCGAAUAAAGCGUAUGAGUACGCUUUUGCUUGCCCUGAUCUACAAAAAUUGUCAACCAUGUUCUUUUACAGCAAGAGUUGAAUUGAGGUAGGCCAGAAAGGGUUAAAUUGGUUGCAGGAAGGAAACAAAGUUGUCUUUUUCUGUUAAUGGUGCUUUCGACGAAAACUAUAUAUCAGCUUGGCAAGAAACCAACCUGAAAGCUACAUAUCCAACUACCAGAAACUUUUGAUUAUGGUAAGAAUUGAUGGUUGGUCCGUGGUAUAUGCUCAUGAAUGUGAACUGCAAAAUAUUCCAGGAUGACAUCACGCUCGGAAAAAUUUCAUUGCCUCGGCAAUCACAAAUAAUUCAGCCAAAUCUGUGAUCACUUGUAUCGUCAUCCCCUAUGGCAAGUCUGGCAGUGAGAAAGCUCAUGCCAGAAAUUCGUUUGUUUUUUAUCACCAGAGAAUUCACUGCAUGAGAUGAGAUGAGACCGUCACAUGAUUUUGCAUCUCGUGAAGAUUUUCAUAUCUUGUGGAUAUCUAUAAUUACUAACUUGAGGAGAAGGUCUUAUAUGGAGCGGGUUCACCGAUUUGAACGUUAAGUGACGGUGAACCUGUUCCAUGUAAGUUACUUAGGGGUCUGAAGUUCAAAAGAACAGCCAAUUGUCCGCACACGCAUAACAGCACUGUUUUAUGGGCCCCUUGACAAAAGAAAAAACAAUUUAAGGGGUCCAGGUUUAGGUAUUGUACUUGCUAAUAAGUAGGGAUAAGACUUUUGGGCUUCAUGUAUCCCACAUUGGGUUGCAACUUGCAACCCACCAUCAGAAAUCAUAUUAAAUUUUGACAAGGA